UACCAGCACCCCGAGUGGUCGGGACGUUUACUGGGCGUAAAGCGUGCGUAGGCGGCUCGCUAAGUCGGUUGUGAAAUCCCUGGGCUUAACCUGGGAACUGCAGUCGAUACUGGCGGACUAGAGUACGGUAGAGGGUGGCGGAACUCCGGGUGUAGCGGUGAAAUGCGUAGAUAUCCGGAAGAACACCGAUGGCGAAGGCAACCACCUGGGCCUGUACUGACGCUGAGGUACGAAAGCGUGGGGAGCAAACAGG
This 253-nucleotide ribosomal RNA is filed under the name uncultured bacterium. Its description in RNAcentral is "partial 16S ribosomal RNA". The stretch from base 27 to 253 matches the Rfam family "Bacterial small subunit ribosomal RNA", at positions 550 to 776 of the family's 1533-position model. The record is from RNAcentral.